This 241-nucleotide non-coding RNA is filed under the name Clostridium sp. Its description in RNAcentral is "T-box sequence". It matches the Rfam family "T-box leader". From Rfam's summary of the family: Uncharged tRNA acts as the effector for transcription antitermination of genes in the T-box leader family. T-boxes are found upstream of many aminoacyl-tRNA synthetase genes and some amino acid biosynthetic genes usually in Gram-positive bacteria. The anticodon of a specific tRNA base pairs to a specifier sequence within the T-box motif, and the NCCA acceptor tail of the tRNA base pairs to a conserved bulge in the T-box antiterminator hairpin. The record is from RNAcentral. Lineage: Bacteria; Bacillati; Bacillota; Clostridia; Eubacteriales; Clostridiaceae.
AAAAACGCAAGGAACAGGUCCAGUAGCAUCUUGAAAGCAAGCUGUCCGACAGAGAGCGUCCGUCACAGGCUGAAAGCGGCGCAGACAGACAAGGGUGUGAACCUUCACCUGGGAGCGGUCCUUUUGAAACAGCAGUAGAAAGGAACGGAGGGCACCGUUAUCUGCACAAUGAAGCUGCCGGUCCGGUUGGACCGGAAGAUGGGUGGUACCGCGGAAAGUUACCUGGCUUUUCGUCCCAGAC